RNAcentral lists this long non-coding RNA (603 nucleotides) under Crocodylus porosus (Australian saltwater crocodile). Its description in RNAcentral is "lncRNA (ENSCPRG00005015137.1)". The record is from RNAcentral. Lineage: Eukaryota; Metazoa; Chordata; Crocodylia; Crocodylidae.
GUAACACAAUACACUUAUUGUCACAGGUAAUUCUGAAAGGCAAAAUAUCUUUCUUUUCUACCCUGUGAAAUAUGGUCAGUAUCUGAAUGGAGUCAAACCAAUUCCCCACAUAUGUUCAACUUCACAUACUGUACUGAGGCCAAAUUUAAGUUCCAGCUGCUGCAAAAUGCAACAUAUGUGGCCUAUGAAACAGCUUGCACUGGAAAUUUUGGACAUCAUGCUUAAGACCUGGCUUGGACAUUGUGCUGGCUUUGUAUUCAACAGAAGACUAUGCUGUGGAGUGCAAGUUGAGUGGGAGCUGAAGUGGACAACCAUGCUGGGGGACAAAGAACAAGCCAGGAAUGGAGAAAGGCAUGCUUUGCUGAGGGCAUGAACAACAUGUGCUGCUGGCAGCUGCGGAGGCACGGUUGCGCUGGCAGCGGUGAAGUGCGGUGGUGAUGGCAGGAGCACGGUAGCGGUAAGCCCAGAGCUCCUGCAGAUGCCACCGGUGCUGUUGGUGGCGGGGGUUGGGGGGGUGGCAAGUAUCAACUAGGGCUUGGUGACUGCCAAUAGACUGCCUACACUGAUCACGGACUGCCUGCAGACACCAUCGGUGGUGUCAUA